This 468-nucleotide ribosomal RNA is filed under the name uncultured bacterium. Its description in RNAcentral is "partial 16S ribosomal RNA". It matches the Rfam family "Bacterial small subunit ribosomal RNA", at positions 28 to 507 of the family's 1533-position model. The record is from RNAcentral.
GACGAACGCUGGCGGCGUGCUUAACACAUGCAAGUCGAACGGAAAGGCCCUGCUUUUGUGGGGUGCUCGAGUGGCGAACGGGUGAGUAACACGUGAGUAACCUGCCCUUGACUUUGGGAUAACUUCAGGAAACUGGGGCUACUACCGGAUAGGAGAUCCCGUUCCAUGGUGGGGGUUGGAAAGUUUCGGCGGUUGGGGAUGGACUCGCGGCUUAUCGGCUUGUUGGUGGGGUAGUGGCUUACCAAGGCAUUGACGGGUAGCUGGCCUGAGAGGGUGACCGGCCACAUAGGGACUGAGAUACGGCCCAGACGCCUACGGGAGGCAGCAGGGGGGAAUAUUGCACAAGGGGCGGAAGCCUGAUGCAGCAACGCCGCGUGCGGGAUGGCGGCCUUCGGGUUGUAAACCGCUUUCACCUGUGACGAAGCGUGAGUGACGGUAAUGGGUAAAGAAGCACCGGCUAACUACGUG